GGGGAAGUCCGGUGAGAGUCCGGCGCUGACCCGCAACGGUGUGCGCGGGGACCUGUGUCCUCGCGCGAGCCCGAUCGCCC
RNAcentral lists this non-coding RNA (80 nucleotides) under Streptomyces hygroscopicus. The record is from RNAcentral. Lineage: Bacteria; Bacillati; Actinomycetota; Actinomycetes; Kitasatosporales; Streptomycetaceae.